Molecule: long non-coding RNA, 909 nt
Filed under: Capsicum annuum
Lineage: Eukaryota; Viridiplantae; Streptophyta; Magnoliopsida; Solanales; Solanaceae
Description: long non-coding RNA (CANN_LNC016985)
Source: RNAcentral
AAGAUUACACGUAUUUAUGGAUACAAAAUAAAAGUAGUUACAAGAGAUAAUAGGUCUACAUUAGAUUGAGUUAUCCUAGAGGUUGUUAUGAUAAGGUUGAGUUUUCCUUUUGAUUUUGAAUCUAAUAGGAUACGAUUAUCCUUAACACUCCCAUGCAAGAUUGAGGAUCCAUCCAGGAGACCAAUCUUAGAUCUGUUGAGCUGAAAUUGAUUCUUGGACAAAACCUUUCUGAGAAGGUCAAUAAUCUGAUCCUUUGAGGAGAUGUGAGAUAUUCAAAGGGCAUUUUUUUUAACCAAAUCUCUAACAAAAUGAAUGUCAAUUUUCAGGUGUUUCAUUAUGGAGUGAAGAAUUGGAUUUUUACAUGUAUAUAUGGUAGAGAUGUUAUCACAGUAUAUUGUGGGGGUGGAAUCGAAUAACCAAUUAAUUCCUUCAAAAGAGAUUUAACCCAUUGAACCUCGAUAGCUACUGCAGCAACGGACCUAUAUUCAUCUUCAGUGGACGAUCUAGCAAGUAUCUUCUACUUUUUGAAACUCCAGUUGAUUAGAACAUGGCCAAAAUAUAAAAAGAACCCAGAGGUUGAUGUUCUAUCCGAUGGAUUACCGGCCCAAUCGACAUCAGAGAAAGCAUAAAACUUUAAAGAAGAUUGUGGAGUAAUAUGAAUACCAAAGGCAAUAAUAGAUUUCAGAUAUUUGAGAAAACGCUUAAGAGCCUGCCAAUGAUGAUGAUUAGGACAAUUCAUGAACUGGGAGAGUUUGUUAACAGUAAAAGCAAUAUCAAGCCUCGUAACAAUGAGAUUAUCCACAAACACUAAGAAAUAACAUGUAGUACCUUGACAAUAUAUGAAAAGAAAGUUAUCACUUUUUGAUUGUCGAAAGACAAACUUCAAGGUAAAUGACCGUAGCGCUUGGU